GGAAAUUGGGGGCGGGCGGCUGCGGGAAGACGGAGGGGGCUAGGGUUGUUGGGGAUUAGUGGGGGUAAAGCGCACGUAGGGGGAUUGUUAAGGCGGGGGUGAAAUCCUGGAGCUCAACUCCAGAACUGCCUGCGAUACUGGCGAUCUCGAGUUCGGGAGAGGUGAGUGGAACUGCGAGUGUAGAGGUGAAAUUCGUAGAUAUUCGCAAGAACACCAGUGGCGAAGGCGGCUCACUGGCCCGAUACUGACGCUGAGGUGCGAAAGCGUGGGGAGCAAACAGGAUUAGAUACCCCGGUAGUC
Molecule: ribosomal RNA, 300 nt
Filed under: uncultured Aquifex sp.
Lineage: Bacteria; Pseudomonadati; Aquificota; Aquificia; Aquificales; Aquificaceae
Description: bacterial SSU rRNA
Rfam family: Bacterial small subunit ribosomal RNA
Source: RNAcentral